Molecule: ribosomal RNA, 301 nt
Filed under: uncultured bacterium
Lineage: Bacteria
Description: partial 16S ribosomal RNA
Rfam family: Bacterial small subunit ribosomal RNA
Source: RNAcentral
CAGCCGCCACGGUAAUACGUAGGUGGCAAGCGUUGUCCGGAAUUAUUGGGCGUAAAGGGCUCGCAGGCGGUUUCUUAAGUCUGAUGUGAAAGCCCCCGGCUAAACCGGGGAGGGUCAUUCGAAACUGGGAAACUUGAGUGCAGAAGAGGAGAGUGGAAUUCCACGUGUAGCGGUGAAAUGCGUAGAGAUGUGGAGGAACACCAGUGGCGAAGGCGACUCUCUGGUCUGUAACUGACGCUGAGGAGCGAAAGCGUGGGGAGCGAACAGGAUUAGAGACCCCGGUAGUCCCUGUCUCUUAUAC